AGUUUCCCUCUGCGUUCGCUGCGCGCUGCUGGAGGCUGUGGUCGCAAUGCUCCCCAAACGGCGGCGAGGGCGGAUCGAGUCCCCUAGCGGCGAUGCCGUUUCCUCCACGCCGCCCUCGACGCGCUUCCCCGGAGUCGCCAUCUACCUGGUCGAGCCUCGCAUGGGUCGCAGCCGCCGGGCCUUCCUCACACGCCUGGCGCGCUCCAAAGGCUUCCGCGUCCUUGACGCCUGCAGCUCCGAAGCAACACAUGUUGUGAUGGAAGAGACCUCAGCAGAGGAGGCCGUCAGCUGGCAGGAGCGCAGGAUGGCAGCUGCUCCCCCGGGUUGCACCCCCCCAGCUCUGCUGGACAUAAGCUGGUUAACAGAGAGCCUGGGAGCUGGGCAGCCUGUACCUGUGGAGUGCCGGCACCGCCUGGAGGUGGCUGGGCCAAGGAAGGGGCCUCUGAGCCCAGCAUGGAUGCCUGCCUAUGCCUGCCAGCGCCCCACGCCCCUCACGCACCACAACACUGGCCUCUCAGAGGCUCUAGAGACACUGGCCGAGGCAGCGGGCUUUGAAGGCAGUGAGGGCCGCCUCCUCACCUUCUGCAGAGCAGCCUCGGUGCUCAAGGCCCUUCCCAGCCCUGUCACAACCCUGAGCCAGCUGCAGGGGCUUCCCCACCUUGGAGAACACUCCUCUAGGGUUGUCCAGGAGCUGCUGGAGCAUGGAGUGUGUGAGGAGGUGGAGAGAGUUCGGCGCUCAGAGAGGUACCAGACCAUGAAGGUACACAGGGCGGGGCUCGGACCUGCCCCAGGAAUGUCCUGCCCUGGGAAUGACAACACAGUCCACACCAUGCACGGGGAGGCAAGCAGAGGCAGCUGACCCAGCCCAGGGGUCAGAGAAGGUCUUGCUGAGGAAGUGGCAGCUAAGCUGACACCUGAUAUGCACAAGGCAGCCAAGUGGAGACAGGCAAGGAAGAAGCUUGUUUUGAGGACAGAAUUUUCUAGAUCACUCAGCACCAUCUGGCUUUUGGGGGUUUUUGUUUUAUUUUGUUGAGACAGGGUUUUGCUCUGUUGCCCAGGCUAGAGUACAGUGGUGCGAUCACAGCUCACAGCAGCCUUGACUUCCUGGGCUCAAACCAUCCUCCCACCUCAGUCUCUGGAGUAGCU
This 1146-nucleotide small RNA is filed under the name Pongo abelii (Sumatran orangutan). Its description in RNAcentral is "retained intron". The record is from RNAcentral. Lineage: Eukaryota; Metazoa; Chordata; Mammalia; Primates; Hominidae.